AUGUCCUCGAGUGCAGCAGCUAAACUGAUUCAGUAUGUGGUGGUAAACGGGGAGAUUGCCAAAACAUGGCCAAAGGGAGCAGUGAUAGCACAGUGCUGUCAUGCGGUCGCGGCUGUUUCGCACCUCUAUGCCACUGACCCGGAUACGGUGGAGUAUUUCAAGGAUUUGGACAACAUGCAUAAAGUGGUGCUUGAGGCUCCGGACGUUGGCAAACUGAACAGCUUGGGCGAGGUGCUGCAGCAGAACGACAUUAAACAUAAAGUGUGGAUCGAACAGCCGGAAAACAUUCCCACCUGCAUUGCACUGAAACCCUACCGGAAGGAGGAUGUUCAUAAGAAAUUAAAACGAUCCGUAACAUGUGACCUGAACAUGAACCAUUGACAGUUACUACAGUCAGACUGUACAUCAACAGAACACCAAACAGUGAACUACGUAGGGUUAGAUCUAUCAUGGCCGGGAAGACUAUAAAACACUGGAAAACUCGGGGUACGGAACUGUCGUCGGGAUACCGUCACAGGCAUUUAUAUAGUUUUGCAAUCUGCUUGGAUAGUUAUAAUAAACUGUCAACGCACCUCCGAUUUAUAGCGGAAGCCUCCAGUAAAAUUCCUUCUUGUCUGCAAAGGUUGGUUCUAUAUUGCACACCAUUAGUUUUUUUAAUGACGACCUACCCAGAAUGGAGAUGCCAGCUUACCCGGCCUGGACGAAGGAAUUAAGUGUAGCAGAAUUUAUGUAUUAGCGAUUAAGAUUAAAGGUGUCAUUAGACGUUGCUGUUGAGCAUAGA
Molecule: RNA transcript, 781 nt
Organism: Armigeres subalbatus
Lineage: Eukaryota; Metazoa; Arthropoda; Insecta; Diptera; Culicidae
Gene name: putative peptidyl-tRNA hydrolase PTRHD1
Exons: 5
Source: RefSeq, a predicted model, not a curated record